AUGGGGUAUAACCCAUCUUCGGCCUUGCUAUAUUUAAGCCACCGGCUCUUGAGAUAUAUAUAUUUUUUGACAAUGUAUAUAUUAUAUAAAGUAAUAAAGCAGGACCUCUGUCCUUUUUUCACCCUCAAAAGUUCAUAUCUUUUUGUUAGAUGGUGGAAACAACCAACAGGGAGCGGAGCAUAUCUGAAUCCGGCUUUCCCUUUGGACCGGCUUAUGAUCAUAUCUGAAUCUAGUCAUGAUCACUUGGGGGCUUCCUGUUCAAACAUAGGUCAUAUCCGAACCAAAGAGAACAUAGCUGUCGAAACCAGCUUGAUCGGCAUACUGCCAAACCCACUUGGGGGCUUCUUGAUCAUAUUUGAAUCAUAG
RNAcentral lists this ribosomal RNA (366 nucleotides) under Triticum aestivum (bread wheat). RNAcentral's name for it is "partial small subunit ribosomal RNA". Lineage: Eukaryota; Viridiplantae; Streptophyta; Magnoliopsida; Poales; Poaceae. The record is from RNAcentral.